UACGUAGGUGGCAAGCGUUAUCCGGAUUUAUUGGGCGUAAAGGGAACGCAGGCGGUCUUUUAAGUCUGAUGUGAAAGCCUUCGGCUUAACCGGAGUAGUGCAUUGGAAACUGGGAGACUUGAGUGCAGAAGAGGAGAGUGGAACUCCAUGUGUAGCGGUGAAAUGCGUAGAUAUAUGGAAGAACACCAGUGGCGAAAGCGGCUCUCUGGUCUGCAACUGACACUGAGGCUCGAAAGUGUGGGUAUCAAACAGG
RNAcentral lists this ribosomal RNA (253 nucleotides) under uncultured bacterium. Its description in RNAcentral is "partial 16S ribosomal RNA". It matches the Rfam family "Bacterial small subunit ribosomal RNA", at positions 524 to 776 of the family's 1533-position model. The record is from RNAcentral.